Molecule: ribosomal RNA, 449 nt
Filed under: uncultured bacterium
Lineage: Bacteria
Description: bacterial SSU rRNA
Rfam family: Bacterial small subunit ribosomal RNA
Source: RNAcentral
GUAGGGAAUCUUCCGCAAUGGACGCAAGUCUGACGGAGCAACGCCGCGUGAGUGAAGAAGGUUUUCGGAUCGUAAAGCUCUGUUGCCAAGGAAGAACGCCUUGGGGAGAAACUGCCCUGAGGGUGACGGUACUUGAGAAGAAAGCCCCGGCUAACUACGUGCCAGCAGCCGCGGUAAUACGUAGGGGGCAAGCGUUGUCCGGAAUUAUUGGGCGUAAAGCGCGCGCAGGCGGCGGCUUAAGUUUGGUGUAUAAGCCCGGGGCUCAACCCCGGAUCGCACCGAAAACUGGGCGGCUUGAGUGCAGGAGAGGAAAGCGGAAUUCCACGUGUAGCGGUGAAAUGCGUAGAGAUGUGGAGGAACACCAGUGGCGAAGGCGGCUUUCUGGACUGUAACUGACGCUGAGGCGCGAAAGCGUGGGGAGCAAACAGGAUUAGAAACCCGAGUAGUCC